Molecule: small nucleolar RNA, 103 nt
Filed under: Mola mola (ocean sunfish)
Lineage: Eukaryota; Metazoa; Chordata; Actinopteri; Tetraodontiformes; Molidae
Description: Small nucleolar RNA SNORA38 (ENSMMOG00000011896.1)
Source: RNAcentral
UCCUCUUACAAAGGCGCACUUGCAUUGGAUUGCUUGCCUGUGCGUAAGAACUGGAGGAAUAGUGAUAUGAAUGGUGACUUAAAUAUUACUGGCUGCCAUGUAG